Long non-coding RNA from Macadamia integrifolia, 3178 nucleotides. RefSeq lists it as uncharacterized. NCBI's taxonomy places the organism in Eukaryota, Viridiplantae, Streptophyta, Magnoliopsida, Proteales, Proteaceae. The record is from RefSeq and is a predicted model, not a curated record. The transcript has 3 exons.
AACCAAACCAAACAUCUCGUCCCAGCUCCCAUUGUAUGAAAGAUUCAACCACUCAUUUGGAUAUUUAUGAGGUUUGUGCAUCAUCUGCUGUUCCACCUAACUAUUACGACCCUGGGGCAGAAUGUGCUUAAAUUUCUCCCUUAGGGUGUGAUGCAUUGGAUGUGAAAUUAGGGUGUUAUAAAUUGGAAAUUAAUGUGGGAUUGACUGCAGGCAGUGUGAGGGGUUUCUAUGAUGAGUCUCUUUUGUCUUGGCCCUUGGGACUCAACUUUUGGUUACCUGAAAAACAAACUACUUUUAUGUUGGCACAUCCUUCAUUGUCUAUUAUUUUGUCCAUUCAAGCAGUGAGCCAAUGAACCUUAUAGGACCAUUAGCUGCAUUUCUGCUGAUGAAUCUGCCUACCAAUUAUGUGGUGUAGAUCUGCAUAUAUUACCAAAAGCAAAUGAAUCAUGUUAAUCAAGAAAAUGUCAAUUUUCCUGGUUUUAAAGGUUGUUCAUGAUUCUUUCUCAUUUUCUCUAUACAGGUGAUAACUGCAAUGACUUAUCAGAUAAUUCCAGAACGAGGUUUAAUGCUAUUUGUGAUUUUCAGUUUAUCCCACAUGUUUGGAAUGCUUAUUCUGUGUUCAAAUUUUAUCUCAUAAUAGCCACCUGCUAUUGAUAUUUGUUUGUAUUGCUGCUAGAUUUAUAUGGCCAAUCUAUGAAAUGUCCUUUUUGUUUCAAACUUCCAUUUUGAAUUUUAAACUCGAAUUGAUGUUUUUGAACAAAAAUUUUCCAACGAUGCAAGAGAGGUAAAAAGGGUUAAGAGUUAAAAAAUAGAUAUCUUUAAGGCAAGAUAUUCAAAUGCUCAUGCACUCUCAAACAUUUCACCUGAGACCUGCAUGGUUCUAGAUUCUCUUCAUGUUACCUUAGUUUCUCAUUAAAUAGUGAAUUUCCAUUUUUAAAAUGCACAGAUAAGGUUGUUCUGAUGCAUGCAUUUGAUAGGAUUAGUAUAUCGUAGACUCCAUUUAUUUUUAUAUAGGUGUUCUUUUUGCUCUGCUUCUCAAUGUAUAUUCUACUCCAUGGAAAAUUCAUAUACAUUUGACAUUUUAUCUCCCAAGACUUUUGAUUGAUGCAAGUGAUUUUCAGGGGAUUGGUUGCCUUCUGUAUGCAGAGUUGAGAAAGAAACUGCAAUACUGAUUUUUGGUUUCUGGUUGCUAUAUUUAUCAAUUUGUCAACUAGUGCCACCUUAUGAAUUUUGUUUCAUUAAAUCAAUAAAUUUAUUGAAAGAAGAGAAUUUGGUUCAACCAAGUAUUUUUAGUGGAUUUCCUCAUAAAUUUCAUGAAUGUUUCCCCAUGUAGGACCCGGUUGCUUGGUCUUGAAAAUAUUGAGAGAUGUGUUUUGGAUUCUUUGCACUGAUAGGAUGAAUAUCAUUGUUUUAACAGUGGCAGGCUGCUUACACCCUGGGUUCCGCUUAUAGAAUGUCGUUUAUGCUUUGCACACGGUUAUGUUUAUAGAAGAGAAUUAGGAGCCUAACUCUCGCAUGCCUUUUGGAUUACUGAGUGCAGGUUAAACAGUUGUAUUUUGUUGCACCUCAUGAGCUCCAUUUUCAAAUAGGUCACCCGUUUUUUAAGAAGCAUAUCGCACACAUGCUCAAUUACAAGGUUGAGAUGCUAUUGCUUGCUUACUUUAAUUUGGUAAUUAAAAAAAAAAAAAAUUGGUCCAAUUGUUCCACAUUAGGAUAUUCUUUGGUAGGUUUGGAUGGUCUGAAGAUUAACCUAAGGCCGUAUCAUAAUGGUCAGUAUUAUCUGUCCAAGUUAUGGUUUUUUACACAACUGCAAUGGUGACAACUUAUGUUCCUCCUCCUUCGAGAGUUAAAAAUGAAUGUUGAGAAGUAGAGCUAAUCCCGAUAAGGGAUUAGAGUCAAAACCAGGACCCGAUAGGGGCCUUUUGGUCCUAUCAGGUCCAUAUUUGGGUAAUUUAGGGCUGCGGCUUAGUGAGGGGCUUUUAUGUAUUUUCUCCUUUGGUUUUAUGCAUUAUAUAUACAACAUAUUGACCUGCGAUCAGCCUAUUUCUGGACUGAUCGCAGGCAGCUCUAUUUCUGGACAGCUUUCGGUCUCUCCUUUUAUUCUUCUUCUUCUUCUCUUUUCUGGCUUCUGGUUUUGGUUACAAGGUUUCUACUUUGCAACAAUGAAUAUCAGAGAAAUGCAUUCAAGAAAGCCUCAAAUUUAUUGUACUUGCAUAUCCAAUUAGUUUUGUGAAUCCAAGUGAUUGAUUCUUGUUACUUUUGAUGUUUCAGCUCGUGGCAUGAACUAUCCUGAUGUUACUUUGGUGAUUUAGGUCGCUUACAACUUGGUGUGCUCAUAACUCUACUACAUUUUGUUUGAUGGUCUAGAUGACUUGUGCGAUGGUACUUCAAUAGACACUUACAGGGCAUAAGUAUUGGUAGAAGCAUACACCAUAUUCGUUGGCCCUAAAAGGAAAUUAGGAAUGCUACCUAACCUCUAAACCAAUGAAUGAGCAGUCAACAGAUUCCCUGUUCGAAUUGCAAGUGAGGGAGUAGUUGGUAGGAAAAUGCAAUUAGUUUUCAAUGUUGGUUGACCAGACAGGGUAUCUCAUCUGCAAAUGGCUGAGGCUGUUGCAAAUAUCAGAGGAUACAACAUUUCAUUGAUCAGACCUAUUUCUACAACAUCAGUAAGCCACUCACCCAACCCCUUUGCUUUUUUUUCCUCUUGAAAUCUCAUUCAGAAACUUGUGAUGCAUAAAACAUGACUUUCUCAUAACAUGGGUAUCUUGGACAAACCUUACCCUUCGAUAUUAUAAAUGACAAAGGUAGCCGUAGAGAUCACAAAAAUCCAUUAAAGAAACAAAAGUUUAUCCGCAAAUGCCGAGGAGGAACUUGAAUCCAAGCUAGGGUUUGAUCUAUUUUUUGAAUGAGAAAAGAGUCUUGGAUGGUUGCUUCGAUAUUGUAAAUGGCAAAGGUGGACGUAGAGAUCACAAAGAUCCAUUAAAGAAACAAAAGCUUAUCCCCAAACGCCGAGGAGGAACUCGAAUCCAAGCUAGCAUUUGAUCUAUUUUUUUAACAAGUAAAGAGUCUUGGAUGGUUGUUUACUUUUGCAUCCGUAAAUUUUAUACGGUACUUGCUUGCUCAUUCCAUCCUUAUCCUCUUCCGCUUCAUUAUAUUUGGAGUUCCUUAUGUUGUUAGC